ACUCCUGCGGGAGGCAGCAGUGGGGAAUAUUGGACAAUGGGCGCAAGCCUGAUCCAGCCAUGCCGCGUGAGUGAUGAAGGCCCUAGGGUUGUAAAGCUCUUUCACCGGUGAAGAUAAUGACGGUAACCGGAGAAGAAGCCCUGGCUAACUUCGUGCCAGCAGCCGCGGUAAUACGAAGGGGGCUAGCGUUGUUCGGAUUUACUGGGCGUAAAGCGCACGUAGGCGGACUAUUAAGUCAGGGGUGAAAUCCCGGGGCUCAACCCCGGAACUGCCUUUGAUACUGGUAGUCUUGAGUUCGAGAGAGGUGAGUGGAAUUCCGAGUGUAGAGGUGAAAUUCGUAGAUAUUCGGAGGAACACCAGUGGCGAAGGCGGCUCACUGGCUCGAUACUGACGCUGAGGUGCGAAAGCGUGGGGAGCAAACAGGAUUAGAAACCCGGGUAGUCCCA
This 446-nucleotide ribosomal RNA is filed under the name uncultured organism. RNAcentral's name for it is "partial 16S ribosomal RNA". It matches the Rfam family "Bacterial small subunit ribosomal RNA", at positions 335 to 797 of the family's 1533-position model. The record is from RNAcentral.